This 767-nucleotide long non-coding RNA is filed under the name Homo sapiens (human). RNAcentral's name for it is "HSALNT0064059". Lineage: Eukaryota; Metazoa; Chordata; Mammalia; Primates; Hominidae. The record is from RNAcentral.
UAAACCUGAGACUUACAGGUCAAAAGAUAAAUGAAUGUGUAAUUUCUAGAUAUUGCUGAAUUUCCCUUUACAGGGGUUGUAGCAUUUUGCUCUCCCACUAGCCUUCCCACCAGCAAUCUGUGAAAUCUGUUUUCCUGUAGACACACCAAGAGAUAACCUUGUCCAAUUUGAGGCUUAACUGACAGGCAAUCUUUUCUCACAGUGAUGCACAUUCAGCUGGCUCCUUAGGAGAACCAAGCCUAAGAAUAAUCUAGCUUUUGAAGAGAACCAAGCUUCUUUUUUCCUCUUCUGGAGAACCACAAACUGGCUUAACAGAGGGCUCUCUGACGCACAGUUUUAUUGUAAGAAGGCCAGUCACAGGAGACGGCCUACUGCCUUCAAGAAACAGCAUGGAAGAUUCCUUAUUUCAUCACCCCUGUACUUUUCAUUGAGGUAUGAAACAGACUUUUCCAAUGAGACUUUUUCUCUCCUAUUUCAGCUGAGACUCCAAGAACUGAGAACAAAAUUAAGGUGCCAAAUAUUCCCACAUUCCAAAUCUAUGCAGAGCUUACAAAGGAGGUGCUCCAGCUCCAGUUUUCUAAGACUUAGUUCAUUUCCUACUUCCAGGACACAUGAGAAAUUGAAGACUUUUAGGCAUUUGACUCAUCCUUGAGAAAAACUAAGGCAAAGGCAGUGGCUGGAGCAGUUUGCCUACGGGAGAGCAAUGAGGGGUACAUUUCCAUAGCUACAAGGAGGCACAGGUGCUUCCCCUGGACCAGAUGUAGUCC